CCUACGGGGGGCAGCAGUGGGGAAUAUUGGACAAUGGGGGGAACCCUGAUCCAGCCAUGCCGCGUGUGUGAAGAAGGCCCUCGGGUUGUAAAGCACUUUCAGUGAGGAAGAACGCCUGGUGGUUAAUACCCAUCAGGAAAGACAUCACUCACAGAAGAAGCACCGGCUAACUCCGUGCCAGCAGCCGCGGUAAUACGGAGGGUGCGAGCGUUAAUCGGAAUUACUGGGCGUAAAGCGCGCGUAGGUGGCUUGAUAAGCCGGUUGUGAAAGCCCCGGGCUCAACCUGGGAACGGCAUCCGGAACUGGCAAGCUAGAGUGCAGGAGAGGAAGGUAGAAUUCCCGGUGUAGCGGUGAAAUGCGUAGAGAUAGGGAGGAAUAGCAGUGGCGAAGGCGGCCUUCUGGACUGACACUGACACUGAGGUGCGAAAGCGUGGGUAGCAAACAGGAUUAGAUACCCUAGUAGUC
This 465-nucleotide ribosomal RNA is filed under the name Vreelandella stevensii. RNAcentral describes it as "partial 16S ribosomal RNA". It matches the Rfam family "Bacterial small subunit ribosomal RNA", at positions 338 to 795 of the family's 1533-position model. Lineage: Bacteria; Pseudomonadati; Pseudomonadota; Gammaproteobacteria; Oceanospirillales; Halomonadaceae. The record is from RNAcentral.